RNAcentral lists this ribosomal RNA (578 nucleotides) under uncultured Gemmatimonadota bacterium. RNAcentral describes it as "bacterial SSU rRNA". It matches the Rfam family "Bacterial small subunit ribosomal RNA", at positions 35 to 600 of the family's 1533-position model. Lineage: Bacteria; Pseudomonadati; Gemmatimonadota. The record is from RNAcentral.
GCUGGCGGCGUGCCUAACACAUGCAAGUCGUACGGGACCGGGGGCAACUCCGGUUCAGUGGCAGACGGGUGCGUAACACGUGAGGAACUUGUCCGGUGGCGGGGGAUAGCCGGCCCAACGGCCGGGUAAUACCGCAUACGCUCGUUCGGGGGCAUCCCUGGGCGAGGAAAGCAGCCGCAAGGUUGCGCCGACGGAGGGCCUCGCGACCUAUCAGCUUGUUGGCGGGGCAACGGCCCACCAAGGCGACGACGGGUAGCUGGUCUGAGAGGAUGAUCAGCCACAUUGGGACUGAGACACGGCCCAGACUCCUACGGGAGGCAGCAGUGGGGAAUAUUGCGCAAUGGCCGCAAGGCUGACGCAGCGACGCCGCGUGUGGGAUGACGGUCUUCGGAUUGUAAACCACUGUCAGGGGGAACGAAUACAGGGCUUCGAUAAGGAGACCCUGGGUGACGGUACCUCCAAAGGAAGCACCGGCUAACUCCGUGCCAGCAGCCGCGGUAAUACGGAGGGUGCGAGCGUUGUCCGGAAUCACUGGGCGUAAAGGGCGCGUAGGCGGUUCGGUAAGUUGUUGGUGAAAU